This 9839-nucleotide long non-coding RNA is filed under the name Brassica napus (rape). RNAcentral describes it as "long non-coding RNA (BNAP_LNC007294)". The record is from RNAcentral. Lineage: Eukaryota; Viridiplantae; Streptophyta; Magnoliopsida; Brassicales; Brassicaceae.
ACAUCUAUCAAUAAUUAAAUAAAACACAAGUCCUAAUAAACUUGUAAAGAGAAAAUGGCGGGAAAAGUGUGUAUGGUGAUGGCAUUGAUAAUGAUAGGGUGUGUUUUACAAGCAUGCAAUGGAGCCAAUGUUGAUGAGAGCCAACCAACACAAGAUCCAAAAUUCGAUUGCUUCAGAACAUGUUCCAUAGCCUGUGGCAAACAAAACAAACCUUGUUACGAUGAAUGUUUGACCAAAUGUGGUCUCCCACAGAGACUUCCUAGACCAACAACAUCUUCAUCACCUUCCUCCACCGCUUGAUCUGAUCUUAUUCAAUUUGUGAUUUGUGUCUUUAUUGCUAAGGAUGUCAUCUAUUUGUUUUUCUUUAGCAUGAAAAUUAAAUGAGAUUUAUAUGAUAAAGUUUUUGAUUAUAUAUCUGGUUUUAUCUUGACUUAUUCAAACUAGUUAGUACGUUCCAGCAUAAAAUGAUUCAAGACUCGUUAGCUUUCUUUCAAAUAAAACCACUAAAUAAACAAUUUGGAUUAUAUUAAAACGAAACAAUUCAAUUAUCAUGAUACUGUUCCUUCUGUUAAAACACAUGUGAUCACAGAUUCCCAAUUCAAAAGAACAAAAUGGCUGACUCAUUGUUUAGACAGAAGCUAGGUCAAAGACUUGGUUCGGUUGGUUUCUUCUUGAAAGGAACUUUGGAUGUGCACAAGACGUUGAAGGUUGUUUGGUUGGUGAAGAUGUUUACAUUGUUCAGUCAAGGCCACAGCCUCUGUAGAAUAUUUUCCUUUUUUUAUGUUUUAUCAAGCGAAUUAUAAUAAAAAUGUCGGAAACAAUUCUGCAUUACGUCACUUCCAUAUGUUAAGUAAGUUUAAUUAUGAUACAUACAGUAUAUAAUUGCUAUUCAUAUCUCUUGCUCACAUAGUGUUUUGGCUAAUUUCAAGAGAUCACCUUGAUUUACUGAAUGGCACAACGAGAAAGAAACAAGGAAAAUAAAAAUCCUACAUGACAUGACCAUCUCGAUCAGGUACUUGCCAUCUAUUUUCGUAGUUUUAACUCUUUUGAAACACUAAAAUCAAACAGACAGAAAUCACGAAUCUAUUCAAGUCAAACUAAACUAAAACAACAAACGCACAUAAAUAACAAAUCUACUAAACAUAGAGGCAAAUACUCAGUAUAUAAACGCCUUCCUCUCCACCACCUAUUUGCACAUCUUAUCAGACUAUCACUACUUGUUACAUCUUAAAGAUAUUUCCAAUUCAUUAAAUUACAAAAAUAAUUGAUUAAAGAAUUAUUAAUGUUUCUAUAUCAAAAGAUCUGAGUUUCAAGUUUCAGAAAAAAAAAUUAUGUUUUUAACGGAGACAAUAUUUACUGUAACAGUUAAGGAUUGCAGUAAAGUCUAAAUGCCCGUAAGACAAGUAAUUGUCCGUUAUAAAAUAAUCGAUGUAGUAUUUUUUUAUAGUUUAUAAUAUUAUAAUUAACCAGGAGAAUACAAAUUCGAUCAUGUACUUGCUAUCUAUUUUCAUAGUUCUAACUUUUUGGCAAUACGAAAAUCCAAUAAUAGUUAGCCAAUCCUAUUUAUGUCAAACUAGACAUAAAUAACAAAACUAUAUUCAAAGUCAAACCAAACAAAAAUAGCAAACAACAAAAACAACCACACACAAAUAUACUAAAUAUAGAAGCAAAAAUUCAGUAUAUAAACGUCUUCCUGUCCAAUCACCUAUUUGCACAUCUCAUAUCUAUCAAUAAUUAAAUAAAACACAAGUCCUAAUAAACUUGUAAAGAGAAAAUGGCGGGAAAAGUGUGUAUGGUGAUGGCAUUGAUAAUGAUAGGGUGUGUUUUACAAGCAUGCAAUGGAGCCAAUGUUGAUGAGAGCCAACCAACACAAGAUCCAAAAUUCGAUUGCUUCAGAACAUGUUCCAUAGCCUGUGGCAAACAAAACAAACCUUGUUACGAUGAAUGUUUGACCAAAUGUGGUCUCCCACAGAGACUUCCUAGACCAACAACAUCUUCAUCACCUUCCUCCACCGCUUGAUCUGAUCUUAUUCAAUUUGUGAUUUGUGUCUUUAUUGCUAAGGAUGUCAUCUAUUUGUUUUUCUUUAGCAUGAAAAUUAAAUGAGAUUUAUAUGAUAAAGUUUUUGAUUAUAUAUCUGGUUUUUUCUUGACUUAUACAAACUAGUUAGUACGUUCCAGCAUAAAAUGAUUCAAGACUCGUUAGCUUUCUUUCAAAUAAAACCACUAAAUAAACAAUUUUGAUUAUAUUAAAACGAAACAAUUCAAUUAUCAUGAUACUGUUCCUUCUGUCAAAACAUAUGUGAUCACAGAAUCACAAUUCAAAACACACGAAACGGCUGACUCAUUGUUUAGACAGAAGCUAGGUCAAAGACGGUUUGGUUGGUUUCUUCUUGAAAGGAACUUUGGAUGUGCACAAGAUGUUGAAGGUUGUUUGGUUGGUGAAGAUGUUUACAUCAUUCAGUCAAGGCCACAACCUCUGCAGAAUAUCUUUUUUUUUAUGUGCUAUAAAGCGAACUAUAAUAAAAAUGUUCGAAAACAAUUCUCCAUAUAUGUAAUUACUAUAUUUUUUAGUCACGUUUGUAGAAUUAUCAGAUUUUAAUUUAUGAAAUAGAUAAUCGUUUUUAUAUAGACUUAAUAUUUUUAUAAUAUACACAAGAUUUUGUCAUAUCAUUGUGUUAUUUUCCUUUUAAAAAAAUACAAUAGAUAUAUGAUAAUCUCAGAACUUGCAAAGAAAUAUUAGAUUUUGUUUAUUUUAUGAAUUAAAACUGAAUCAAAAGUUGAACAUAUGACGUGAUAUUUCUUGCUAUAUGUAUGUAUAUGUAACUUUUAUAGUUUGUAAUCAUAAAAUCAUAUAAUGAUUAUUUGCUAUUCAUGUAUGUUGCUCACUUGGUGUUUUGGCUAAUUAGAAUCUCAAGCGAUCAAAAAUCUAAACCCUACAUAAGUUAAAGGAUCUUGAAAAAAAUGUAAAAUCAUGUAAAGUACCCAAAAUGGAAAAAGUAGAAAGAUCACUAGAUCUCCUCCGAAUCCAAAAACACAAUUAAUCCAGCUGAUUUUUUUUUUCACAAUUUCUUUCUCCUUUAAAUAUUCAACAUAUAUAUUUUUGAGUUUCCACAAAAUAUUUUCUUAAGAGUUCUGUAAUAUUUGUUGCUCACAAGAAAGAAAGAUAACGAGAGAGAGGGCUGAUGAAGUUCCAAGCUUGGCAGAGUCGAAGUUAACAGCUUUGGUCGUCGAUGACAACUUUGUAAAUCAAACCAUGCAUCACAAACUGCUGGACCGUCUAGGUAUUAAAAAUGACGUCGUUUGCAACGGCCAAGAAGCUGUCGACGUUCAUUGUUCCGGGAGAAACUAUGAUCUUAUUCUUAUGGACAUGGAAAUGCCCAUCUUGAACGGUAUUCAGGUAAUAUUAAUUUAUUAUAUUUUUAGCUCAUUAAAUUCACUUCGUUUAUUCAAUUCUUAUUUUUUGUUAUAAAAUUCAGAAAAGAAUAAGUUAUUACUAAUUAAUUUUUAUUUGAGAAUUUUCAUAUCCAUAAACCUUAGUAAAAGAAGUUGUAUGAAACUGUUCUAGUUAAAUGUUGGAAUAAGACUCCUUAAUACAGUUUUGUUUAUUAAUAAUGUGCAGUACCCUUUUUAUUAUUUUCUUAAAAAUAGAACCGAUGGUUUAUAUGUAUAACUAAUGGACUGUGUUUUGUUUGAUUAGGCGACAAAGAGACUAAGAGAGAUGGGGAUAGAGAGCAAGAUAGCAGGAGUAACAACUAGAGCUAACGAAGGAGAUAAGAAAGAGUUUAUGGAAGCUGGUCUUAAUGACUUUCAAGAGAAACCUCUCACCAUCUCCAAACUUUUGUCGAAUCUCCACAGACUUGACUUUCAUGUCCAAACCUAAUUAAUCUACACUAUUUGUUAGUGAUUUUUGUUAAAUCUUCACAUGUUUUCUAUAACAUACUUAUAGUUCGUAAUAUUCUUACUUCAGAAUAUAGUAAUCACCAAUAACAAUUUCGAUAAAAGUUUCCGAGCAAGUGACCAUGCUUAAUUUACAUAUAUAAUAUAUAGUUGUUUGAUAUUUUCGGUUCAUGAUUCAAAAAUUUGGUCACGUUUAUUAUGAUUUAUAAAGACAUCAUCACCUCGGCCAUUUUCUUAACCAGUCAGGAUGCUCUGUAGCGAAACGAAUAACACUUUACGAAAAGCAGCGAUGUGUCACGUGAUUAUAUAGAACUAACAUGUUUAGUUAAAUCCGAUGUAUCUUGGCCUACACUAAAAGUGCGACGUUGAAACAAAAUCUAUUUUAUCAAAUUUUAGUAUCACAAGAGAGACAUCAAAGCUCUUAAUUUGAAGAAGACUCAUGUAAAACUCACAUGUGAUUCCUAAAGGUGUGGUCCGCGAGAACCUCGACUUUUCCACAGGUUCCACGUACCGUGCGUAGUCUACUGCAUUUCUUGGACCUCUUGAGUUUUGUCUGAUGUGCCUUCCUCCUCGACCCUUCAUAGCUAUAAUAACUACGUUCAAACUCUGAGGAACUGAAAGCAAACCACAUGUGCUAGUGCUACCAAUCCAUUAUCACUUUAUUCGUUGACAAUUAGCGUUUACGCAAUGCCCAUGUGUUAAGCUAGUUUGACGCUUAGGCAUAAGGUCACAUUUCGUUCUAGAGCAUAUACCAAAUAAAGAGCAAGACAUGGUUCAGAUGUGACAACCAUUGGUUUUUGUAAAGCCUUCAUAUAUAAAGUAAAAGCUUAUUUAUUCACUUGAAAAUCGUCAAAUUUCUCUAGUGUAUGAUACAAUUCUUAUGACAACUACUAUAAGAAAUAUUUUUUUGUCAGUUUUUGUGUGUCAACAAAUUUUUUUCCUGUCAGUUUAAAUAGUACUAUAUCAAAAUCAAAAUCUUAUAUAUUAAAAUAGAAGUCACAACCUUGAUUCAUGUGUGUUUUUUUUUAAAAUGGACCUAAUGGACCUAUUCAUAGAAAUUCAUACUAUAUUUUAAUAAAUAUAAUUUUUAAAAUAUUUUAAUCAUAGUAUCUUUUGAUAUCUUUUCAUUUUAAAUAUAAAUAUAUUUAUUUUAAAAUUCUAACAACUCUGUUUAAAAAGAUUUUUACAAGAUCUUCAUUUUUGAAAUUAUAUUUAAAUAUUUUCACUAAUUUCGAAAUUAGUUUAAAAUAUUAUUAUACAUUAAUAUAUUCAGUUAUAUAAAAUGAAAAAUAAAAAAAAUCUAUAAUAUUUUAGUUAUUAUAUAAUCAUAAUCAAUCAUAUUAAAUUAAAAUUAUUAUAUUGAGCUAAAUAUAAUAAAAUUGUAUUAAAUUUAUAUAUUUAACAUAUCUAAAAAUUAACAUAUCUUACACUUUUAUAUAUACAAUAAUAAAUUAUCUAAAAUGAAUAAGCAUAAAAAUAUUGGUAAAAAGAAAUCUAGUUUUAAAAUACGAGUCAGAAUUUAGCAUAAAUUAAAUACAAAAUAUUUUUUAAAUAUAUUUUCUCAUGAAUAUAUUAAUUUGCUUAAUAACUAAAUGCAAAUACAAUAAGAUAAAUAUAUAAUAAGAAGUGGCAAAUACAUAAUAUUUAAACAAUUAAUUAAUUAUAACAUGUAAAUUAUAAAAUUAUUGUAUUUGAAAUAGUUAUAUAAAUAUUUAAGUAUAUGAUUAACAUUAAAAAUAUAUACCACUUAUGUUCUAAAAUAAUAAUUUAUGUAUAGAAAAGUGAAAACAAACACUCGUGCGGUUGCACGGGUCAAAAUCUAGUAUUGGUUUAAAUUAAAAGUAACAGUGACACAUGGACUGAAAUUAAUUGUUCCUUAAUUAAUAACCAACAUAAGAUUCAAUAAUAAUUAAAACGAAUGUAUUAAAUAUAAAUAUAUACUAUAUGUGUGUACAUAUAUAUAUAUAUAGCUUUCCUCUGCUUCCUCAUCUCUCACAUUCUCAGCGAUUAAUCAAAAACUUUCUCCGUCUUCAGGUUCGCUUUUUUCUUUACUCAGAUCUUUCUAAAAACAUCUCUUCCACAGUUUCUUAUUCUUGUCUGAAAAUUAUCUCUCAAUCUCAAAAAAAAAAAAAACAUAUGUAAUGGGUUUGUGUCUUUGAUUCAUAUCAUUCUCUUCCAAUACUCGGAUCUCACAUUUCUUCCUAAAGCUUGCAUCUUUAUUAGAUCUUCAUCUGUUGAAUUCCAAUUCUGGGUAUCGAUUCGUCUUGGAUUCUUCUUAGACAUUUGUUUCCUUUGUCCAUUGUCUUUCUUUUUGCAUCCGAUCUGAUUGACUCACGUCGGAUCUGGAUUCUCUUGUCUUGAUCUAUAUACGUCAGCAUUGUUCUAUUCUUACAUCAUUUUUUUUUAAUCUUUUCUUUCGCAUGUGUUGUGUAGUAGAAAGCUGUUUCAAAGUUUGCAACUUUUUAUUCCCUUGGAUCUGACUUUUCCUCUUCUCCUAUAAAUGCUUAGCACUUAGAUCUGCUCGUUUUGAUCUAUUGCAUGAUUUUUUUUUUUUGUGAAAUGUGUUCUCUGGAAACUCAUUUAGAUUCCUCCUUCUCAGGUAACAUUUGAACGAGUUGCUUAAUAGUACCAUGGGAUCCAUUGCUGAUGCUGCAAACAAGGUAAAUGAUUCCACACUUAGACAUGAACUCUAAUAAACAAUCUUUUAAAAAAAACAUACUAGUGCUUGUUCUGCUUUGUAGAUACAUUUGUUAAACCUAUUUUAAAGUUUGUCUUUUUGGUGUAUUUUUUUCUUACAGGAGGUUAAUGGAACCGCAAGUGAGAAGAGACCCGCUGUUAUUUUUGUCCUUGGUAAGUUCAGGAGGUCUUCUCAUGUGUGUUUGCUAAAACCGUUACUUUCCCGCCAUCAUGUUUGUGGUUUUUUAUGCUAUUAGUAAAAAAAAACCACAAACAUGAUGGCCGGAAAGUUAAGGACAAAACAGUAGAUUAUAUUGUUAUUAUGUUUAAUGAGAAGUGAUUUUUGGUCGAGUUUAUUGUAGAUUUUUUUGAGUUAGAUACUACUUUUGAUUCCAGGUGGUCCAGGCAGUGGGAAAGGUACACAGUGUGCCUAUAUUGUUGACCAUUUUGGUUACACACAUCUGAGUGCUGGAGACCUUCUCAGGGCUGAAAUUAAAUCAGGUUCUGAAAAUGGGUAUGCCCUUAAAAACUUUCUGGAAUUGUCUUAUAAAUCAGGUUGUUUAUUGAAGCGGUUCUGACUUUAUUUAUGUAAUUUUAUGUUUUGUCCUUUAAAAUGGUGGUGCAGGACUAUGAUCCAGAAUAUGAUUAAAGAAGGGAAGAUUGUACCUUCUGAGGUUACAAUCAAGCUUCUUCAGAAAGCAAUUCAGGAGAACGGGAACGACAAGUUCCUCAUUGAUGGCUUCCCUCGCAAUGAGGAGAACCGAGCAGCCUUUGAAAAAGUUGUAAGUAUAUUUACAUAAUUUUAAAAGAGUGUUAUGUUUUUUUUUUCUUUUUUUGCUGACACAGUUGCUUAAUAAUUACAUGCGUUUGAUGAUGUUUGUAGACUGGGAUUGAACCUAAGUUUGUCUUGUUCUUUGAUUGUCCUGAGGAAGAGAUGGAGAGGCGCCUCUUGGGAAGAAACCAGGUUAGUGUGAUAUGAAAAGCUCUGUUUCUUUUACUCUGUGUAGCCUCUUGUUUCAUGUAUGUUGAUUGUUGCAUCCGUUUCUGGUGUUGAAGGGGAGAGAGGAUGACAAUAUAGAGACUAUAAGGAAGCGUUUCAAGGUGUUUCUUGAAUCUAGCUUGCCAGUGAUUCAGUACUACGAAGCUAAGGGCAAAGUUCGCAAGGUGAAAAUCUUUUUUUCUUCUAGUUUUUUACUGUAUUACGGUCCAGCAAUUGUAAGUUGUAUAACAAAGUUUUGUUGUUUCUAAUACUUGGCUUUAGAUUCAUGCCGCAAAGCCUAUUGAAGAUGUGUUUCAGGAGGUGAAGGCAGUCUUUUCUCCUGAAGCUGAGAAGGUAAAAAAAAACAAUAGUUGUGCCAUUCUCUAAUAUAAUAGUCAAUAGAAAAUUAAAGACUACUAUGAACCACCUGUAAUGUAGAAGCUUGUAACUAAUGUUAGAGAUUUGAAUCAUGGAUUACAUGAUUGUGCUGUAAAGAGAAAGAAUCAUGCAGCUAUGAUGGCAUUAUUUUAUCACUUAAGUUAUUGCUAAGAUUCUCAAGUUAACGAUUCUGUGAACGUUUUAUUUAGGUUGAAGCCUAGGCAGCAGCAUCGUAAAGAGAUACCUGAUACAUUGGUCAGGUAUGUCUAGCAGCCAAUGAUGGUUGAACGUUUGUUUAUGUGUGUUCAAACACAACUCAGCUUUUGAUCUGUAAAAGUAAAAAAAAAAAGCUACUUGAAUCUGAAAUAAAAGGCUGUGUGGAAGCAUGUUCUGAUGUAUCUAGUUCUGUUAUAGAAUCUUGAGGACUAAAUGAGUAUGUGAUGGUGAUGAUUAAUGUCUGUUUCCUUUGAAACUUUGUAUAGGUAAGCUUAGGGGUUGCAUCUUUACAAGGAAGUCUCUGCUUGGUUGUAUUUUUUCUUCUUCUAUAUAACCCAUAUGAUUACUGUUAUUAUUAUUAUACACCUCUUUACCUAUUAUAUAUUUUUGUUUUUUUUUGUAUUUGAUGAAAUUUUGUGAUUUGUACUUUCUGUAAUUUCAUUUGAACUAAUGAGAUUUUAUAAUCCUUUUAUAAUAUACCUAGAUUAAUGAAAUCCGUGUGUUGUGUCUUGUGUGGUCUUUCUUGUUGUUCUUGUUCCCAUUGUUUAUUUCUGCUGUAACUUUUGUUUUUCACCAAAUCCAUAUUAUUGAGCUAAGUAUCGGAAAGAGUUACAUAGUGUAAAUAAAUACAUCACAUGUCUUAUUCAGUAAAAUAAAUCAAUACUAGUAAGCUACUCUAGUUUGAAAUUUUUAAUGAGACCUAGGAUAUGACUUCAUUUUCGUUUUGCCAGACAACAACAGUAACUUAAUAUCUGACAUGAUUCAAAUUCAGAGUAUUUUUCGUCUCAAAUCUUUCUUUUAACUAUCACUACUUGUUACAUUUUAAAUAUAUUUUUGACAACAAAUUUUUUACUAACGAAUUAUUAAUGGUUCUGCAUCUCAAGAGAUCUCAGUUUCAAAUUUCAGAAAAAAAACGUUGUUAAUGGAGACAAUAUUUACUUUACUGGUUAAGGAUUAUGCAGUCAUAUGUGCAUUUUUGUAAGACAAGUGUAUUGACUAUCGGCCACGGAAUCGUCAAUAUAAUACUUUUUUAAUAGUUUAUAAUAUCAAAGUUAAUUAGGAGAAUACAAAUCCUACAUGAUCUGAUCAUUUCGAUCAUGUACUUGCUAUAUAUUUUCAUAGUUUUAAUAACUCUUUUCACAAUAUGAAAAUCCAACAAUAGUUAGCCAAUCCUAUUUAUGUCAAACUACACAGAAAUCACAAAUCUCUAUUCAAAGUCAAACCAAACAAAAAUAGCAAACAACAAAAACACCACACACACAAAUAUACUAAAUAUAGAGGCAAAGAUUUAGUAUAUAAACGCCUUCUUCUCCAUCCACCUAUUUGCACAUCUCAUAUCUAUCAAUAAUAAUUAAAUAAAACACAAGUCCUAAUAAACUUGUAAAGAGAAAAUGGCGGGAAAAAUGUGUAUGGUGAUGGCACUUAUCAUGAUGGGGUGUGUUUUACAAGCAUGCAAUGGAACCAAUGUUGAUGAGAGCCAACCAACAGAAGAUUCAAAGCUCGUUUGCUUCAGGACCUGUUCCAUAGCCUGUGGCAAACAAAACAAACCUUGUUACGAUGAAUGUUUGACCAAAUGUGGUCUCCCACAACGACCAGCAACACCUUCAUCACCUUCUACCACCGCUUGAUCUGAUCUAAUUUAUUUGUGAUUUGUGUCCUUACUGCCGAGGAUGUCAUCUAUAUUCUUUUGUUU